GGAGAGUACCGGGUCGUGACACAUAUUAUUGGGACCAACAUAUUCUGCUUCUGCAUAAUUGAUUAAAUUUGAUUUUGAUACCUUUGAGUAAUAUAGGCCCAAGUCCAUGUUCCUCUGAGAUAUUGAAGUAAACAACUCCAUUUCAAUGUAUUAAGGUUUGAAGAAAACUAUAUCUUUUUAAUAAAUUUGCAACAAAUGAUAUAUC
Molecule: long non-coding RNA, 205 nt
Filed under: Theobroma cacao (cacao)
Lineage: Eukaryota; Viridiplantae; Streptophyta; Magnoliopsida; Malvales; Malvaceae
Description: long non-coding RNA (TCAC_LNC003903)
Source: RNAcentral